RNAcentral lists this microRNA precursor (76 nucleotides) under Schistosoma mansoni. RNAcentral describes it as "mir-3492 microRNA precursor family". It matches the Rfam family "mir-3492 microRNA precursor family". The record is from Rfam by way of RNAcentral. Lineage: Eukaryota; Metazoa; Platyhelminthes; Trematoda; Strigeidida; Schistosomatidae.
AGCCUUCUGUAUCCAUGUUGAGAUUUUGUCACACUAGGCCACAAGGACUGAUGAGACUCCCAAGAUAAAUGAAGCG